This 462-nucleotide ribosomal RNA is filed under the name uncultured bacterium. Its description in RNAcentral is "partial 16S ribosomal RNA". It matches the Rfam family "Bacterial small subunit ribosomal RNA", at positions 28 to 507 of the family's 1533-position model. The record is from RNAcentral.
GAUAAACGCUGGCGGCGUGCUUAACACAUGCAAGCCGAACGAAGUUUUUCCUUCGGGAGAAACUUAGUGGCGGACGGGUGAGUAACGCGUGGGUAACCUGCCCUGUACAGGGGGACAACAGCUGGAAACGGCUGCUAAUACCGCAUAAGCCCUUAUCACUGCAUGGUGCAUAGGGAAAAGGAGCAGUCCGGUACAGGAUGGACCCGCGUCUGAUUAGCCAGUUGGCAGGGUAACGGCCUACCAAAGCUACGAUCAGUAGCCGAUCUGAGAGGAUGUACGGACACAUUGGGACUGAGACACGGCCCAGACUCCUACGGGAGGCAGCAGUGGGGAAUAUUGCACAAUGGAGGAAACUCUGAUGCAGCGACGCCGCGUGAGUGAAGAAGUAUUUCGGUAUGUAAAGCUCUAUCAGCAGGGAAGAAAAUGACGGUACCUGACUAAGAAGCACCGGCUAAAUACGUG